This 461-nucleotide ribosomal RNA is filed under the name uncultured bacterium. RNAcentral's name for it is "partial 16S ribosomal RNA". It matches the Rfam family "Bacterial small subunit ribosomal RNA", at positions 29 to 506 of the family's 1533-position model. The record is from RNAcentral.
AGUGAACGCUGGCGGCGUGCCUAAUACAUGCAAGUCGAACGGAGAUUAAGUAGCUUGCUAUUUAAUCUUAGUGGCGCACGGGUGAGUAAUAUAUAGCUAACUUGCCCAUUACUAAGGGACAACAGUUGGAAACGACUGCUAAUACCUUAUACUCCGUAUCUAUAUAAGUAGAUACGGGAAAGUUUUUCGGUAAUGGAUAGGGCUAUAUCGUAUCAGCUAGUUGGUAAGGUAAUGGCUUACCAAGGCUAUGACGCGUAACUGGUCUGAGAGGAUGAUCAGUCACACUGGAACUGAGACACGGUCCAGACUCCUACGGGAAGCAGCAGUAGGGAAUAUUGCUCAAUGGGGGAAACCCUGAAGCAGCAACGCCGCGUGGAGGAUGACACUUUUCGGAGCGUAAACUCCUUUUCUUGGGAAAGAAUUAUGACGGUACCCAAGGAAUAAGCACCGGCUAACUCCGU